UCCUAUGAGGGAGACGAAGAGACGUGAUCGACAGUUGGGCACCUAGGUCAUGAGGAGUCAGUGGUGCAACCGACCCAAUGAUGA
RNAcentral lists this non-coding RNA (84 nucleotides) under Geosporobacter ferrireducens. RNAcentral's name for it is "c-di-GMP-II sequence". It matches the Rfam family "Cyclic di-GMP-II riboswitch aptamer". Lineage: Bacteria; Bacillati; Bacillota; Clostridia; Peptostreptococcales; Thermotaleaceae. The record is from Rfam by way of RNAcentral.